Molecule: ribosomal RNA, 389 nt
Filed under: Astacus astacus (noble crayfish)
Lineage: Eukaryota; Metazoa; Arthropoda; Malacostraca; Decapoda; Astacidae
Description: partial small subunit ribosomal RNA
Source: RNAcentral
UUGAAGGCUGGAAUGAAUGGUUGGACAAGAAAUAAGCUGUCUUAAAUAAAAAUAUUGAACUUAACUUUUAAGUGAAAAGGCUUAAAUUUUCUAAAGGGACGAUAAGACCCUAUAAAACUUUAUAUUUAAAAGUAAUUGCAAUUAUUAUUUAAAGAUUUUAUUUUUAAAUAUUUUAUUGGGGUGAUAAGGAUAAAAUAUAAGACAACUGUCUUUUAUUUUAACAAUAAUUUUUGAGUAAAUGAUCUUAGUAAAGGAAUAAAAGAUUAAGUUACUUUAGGGAUAACAGCGUAAUUUUCUUUGAGAGUUCUUAUCGACAAGAAAGUUUGCGACCUCGAUGUUGAAUUAAAAGUUCUUUAUAGAGUAGAGACUAUAUUAGAAGGUCUGUUCGA